CUGUCAGUCUGUCAGUCUGUCAGUCUGUCAGUCUGUCAGUCUGUCAGUCUGUCAGUCUGUCAGUCUGUCAGUCUGUCAGUCUGUCAGUCUGUCAGUCUGUCAGUCUGUCAGUCUGUCUGUCAGUCUGUCUGUCUGUCUGUAUAAGAAGCUACAGCCUAAACGGAUGGACCGAUUAAUGUCAAACUUGGUAUGUAGAGUUAUUUGGCGACUCUCCAGAGGUGUUUUUAGAAUUAAUUUUUUUGGACCAAAAAUAACGGUACUUGUCAUAUACCGAUUUUAGUAAAAUUGAAAUAUCUCGAAAACGGCUCUAACGAUUUUGUUUAAAAUAUUCAAAUGUUAGUUUUAAGCUAAGGUCUAUCUUUCAAUGAAAAAUUUUUUUUUUGAGAAUCAUUAUUAACGGUACCUGCCAUAGAACCGUUUUUUUCAAAUCCGAUUAUCUCAGAAACUGCUUAUUCGAUUUAAACGAAACUUUUUGUGAAGAAGCAUUUAUAUAAUUUAAAUAUAAGCCAAAAAUAAGAUUUUGAAAAAAAUAAUUUUUGAAUUUUUAAAAAAAUUUUGAAAAUUUUUUUUUGAAAAAUCAAAUUUUCGAAAACGGGACAUUGAAUUUUUUUUGAAAUUUUGUUUUUAGAUUUUGAUUAGUGAUUUCUAAAGAAUGGCGUACCAAUUUUAUUUUAAAACUUUUUUUCCAAAAAAUUAUAAAAAAUUAGUUUUUUAAAAAACGGCUCUAACGAUUUUGAAAAUUUUUUUUCUAAAAAUGCAUCUUAAUAUAUCAAUCAAAACUGCAUACUUGUUUCGGAGGGCAAUUUAAUUUCAGAUUUAAUUUAAUUUUUUUUUUUAAACGAAUUUUAUUUUUUUUUCAAAUUUCUAUAUAAAAAGUCUUAAAAAUUUAAGCAACUUUAACUCUAAGAGCAAGUUCGUGCGACCCAGUCGUGCAUUUUAUUUUUUUUAUAAAAACUCUUUAUUCUUGCUUUCUAUCCCAAAUUCAUUGUUUUUACCAUAUUUCAUUAGGGUGACCCAUAGAGUGGUCCACGCUUGUAUGGGAAAAAUAAAUUUUUCAAAUAAAGGUUGGGCCACCCUCUAGUUCCACAUACUAUUGGUAUCAUACUGUUGAAUUUUUAGCCUCCUAUCUUAUACAGGGUGUCCCGGGAUGAGAUAAGAUUUUGAGGGAUAAUUCUUGGGUAUAUUCUAAGAAAAAAAUUGUUCUACAGUAACUUUCUAUCUGCAAAGUUGAUAACCCUUUAGCGAUGAUUUAAGAAAACGCUUACUUUGGUAUGCCUUGACUCAUGAUAAUGUUAAUAACUCCGUUAAUACUUAUGAUAAAAACUUUAUUAAUGUCUUGAUUUUUAGAAAUGCUAUUCUUUGUCCUGCAUUUAAAAAAUGUUAAUAUCUUUUUAGUUGCUCAGAUAUUAAAUUUUUAAUGGAAUUAUUUUUUUCUUACCCAUGAUAAUUUUUACUUUGAGGCCGAUUUUCUUCAAUAAAUGUAUUAUAAACAUAGUGUUUUAUAAAUUUGUUCAUAUGAAAAAAACAAUAAUGAACAAAAAUGUUGUUCACAAGUUUGCCAGAAAACUUAUAGAUUUUAUGAUAUUUGGGAAAACCUGCACCAGGUAAAAUCUCUAAAAAAUGUGUGUUUUUGCUUAAGUCAAAAAUGGGUUCGAAUUUAAGACCUAGUAACAACAAUUAUUUAAAAAGUUCUUCUUGAUUUUGUGUGCUUGCUAGAGCCCGUUUUUUUUUUUUUAUUUUAUUGCUAAUAUUAAUUGAUGGAGGUUUCACUGAUUCAUUUAGCUACUUCAUUAGGGUGGGUCAAAAAAAUCGAAAUUCUUUUUUUUGAAUUGGUACUCCGAAAAAUCGAUUGCUAGACCCCUCUAGAAUAUACACACCAAAUAUGAGCUCUUUAUAUUAAUGGGAAGGUCCUCCGCUUUGCAAUUUUCCAUUUUUACAUCAAGCUUCUACUAAAAAAAAAUAAUUUUUUUAUUAAUUGACUUUUUAACAAAUCUCUUUUCAUAUUCUUGUAGGAAAUUGAACGCUCUACAAAAAAGGCCUUAUACUCUUUUUUCGUUUAUCUAACCGUGUUGAAUAGAUAUUUGAGGUCCAAAAAUUGAGAAAAUCUUUAAAAAUUCGUUUUUUGUUCUUAAUUUUGUAACAAAUUGAAUAUUUAUAAUGAUCAAACGCGCAAGACAUAUUCUUGCUGGAAAUUGAUUGUUCCACAAAAAAGGUCUUAUUAACUUUUUUCAUUAAUCUAACCAUUCUAAAGAUAUUCGAUGUCAAAGUUAAAAAAAAAUAAUAAAAACAUUUUAUAUUUUUAAAAAUUUUCCAGGUCACUGAAAAUUCAUUAUUUUCAAUUUAGCAAGACGUAUUCUUGUAGGGGCUUAAACGUUCUACAAAAAAUCCCUUGGCAUCAAAUUGAUUGCUUUAACCGUUUAGAAGAUAUUCGUAUCCAAAUAGCAAUGCAUACGGGUCAUAAGAAAACUAUUGAAAUCAGUGAGCAUUGGUUUGGAUACGAAUAUCUUCUAAACGGUUAAAGCAAUCAAUUUCAUUCCAAGGAAUUUUUUGUAGAACGUUUAAGCCCCUACAAGAAUAUAUCUUGCUAAUUUGAAAAUAAUAAAGUUUCAGUGAAUUAGAAAUUUUUUAAAAAUAUAAAAUGUUUUUAUUAUUUUUUUUUAACUUUGACCUCGAAUAUCUUUAGAAUGGUAAGAUGAAUAAAAAAAAGUUAAUAAGACCUUUUUUGUGGAGCAAUCAAUUUCCAACAAGAAUAUGUCUUGCGCGUUUGAUCAUUAUAAUUUUUCAAUUUGUUACAAAAUUAAGAACAAAAAACGAAUUUUUAAAGAUUUUCUCGAUUUUUGGACCUCAAAUAUCUAUUCAACGGUUAGAUAAACGAAAAAAGUGUAUAAGGCCUUUUUUGUAGAGCGUUCAAUUUCCUACAAGAAUAUGAAAAGAAAUUUGCUAAAAAGUCAAUUAAUAAAAAAAUUAUUUUUUUUUAGUAGAAGCUUGAUUUAAAAAUGGAAAAUUGCAAAGCGGAGGACCUUCCCAUUAAUAUAAAGAGCUCAUAUUUGGUGUGUAUAUUCUAGAGGGGUCUAGCAAUCGAUUUUUCGGAGUACCAAAUCAAAAAAAAAAUUUUCGAUUUUUUUGACCCACCCUAAUAAAUAUAUGCUGUUUUUUUUGUAAUAUAUGUAUGUACCAAUGUGUGUAUGUACACAAGAAAUCUCCCUCGAUGAUAGCAGGUGAAAAAAAGAAUUAUGUCACAAAACUGUGCCUUUUAUGACGCAAUAGGUUUCCGAUGCACGAAUUCACUAUGGGGAAGAGAAAGAAAAAUAACACCAAGUAAAUGCUUAAUUGAUUAAAAGUAAAUACACCACUUCCCUAACAACAAACACAAUAAAGAUAGGUAUAUGGAUUGGAAAAAAGAAUCCAAAUCCACCACCUUUUCAGCCGAAUCAAAAUGCACACAAAAAAAAACUGCAAGGAAGCCCCACGUUGUGGACGCCAA
Long non-coding RNA from Episyrphus balteatus (marmalade hoverfly), 3484 nucleotides. RefSeq lists it as uncharacterized. NCBI's taxonomy places the organism in Eukaryota, Metazoa, Arthropoda, Insecta, Diptera, Syrphidae. The record is from RefSeq and is a predicted model, not a curated record. The transcript has 2 exons.